Molecule: long non-coding RNA, 1125 nt
Organism: Ictalurus punctatus (channel catfish)
Lineage: Eukaryota; Metazoa; Chordata; Actinopteri; Siluriformes; Ictaluridae
Source: Ensembl
CACGCACACACACACACAGCAGACACACCGGAUGUAGCCAGAGGGGUCUUCAGCACAAAAUUACAUCCAUGACGGCACAGACAGCACCAUCUUACACCUCAUCGUAAAGCUCUGCAGUUUUCUCGGUCUGGAUGAGGGAACACCAUCUUAAGCUUAACCUGGCAAAAUCUGAGCUUCUCGUCAUGCCAGCCUGUCCCUCAAUCAACCACAACCUCUCUGUACAGCUCAGCUCAACCACACUCAAGCCAACCAGGAUGGCCAGGAACCUUGGGGUAAUUCUUGUUGACGGCUUGACCUUUACAGACCCAUCUCAACAACUGCACGGUCCUGUAGGUUCAUCCUGUACAACAUCAAGAAAAUCAGACCGUAUCUCACCGAACAGGCUACACAGAUACUAGUCCAGGCUCUUGAUAUCUCAAAACUGGACUACUGCAACUCACUCCUUUCAGGCCUCCCAGCCAGCUCCAUCAAACCCCUUCAGAUGAUUCAGAAUGCUGCAGCGCGCCUCGUCUUCAACCAGCCCAAGAGAACCCACGUCACACCCCUCUACGUCUCCCUCCACUGGCUUCCCGUAGCCGCUCGUAUCAAAUUCAAGGCCUUGAUGCUCACGUACAAGACCUUGUCUGGAACAGCGCCCCCUACCUCAACUCUCUCCUGAAGGCUUACGUUUCCUCACGCAAUCUGCGAUCGGUUAACGACCGAUGCUUAGUAGUGCCUACUCAGCGUGGCUCAAGGUUCCUUUCCAGAACCUUCACACUAACCGUCCCUCAGUGGUGGAAUGAACUUCCAACCUCAAUCCGGACCGCAGAAUCUCUCACCAUCUUCAAAAAAACAGCUAAAGACCCAGCUCUUCCGUCAACACCUAACCAACCCAUAAAAAAAUUUUUUAAAAUUACACUUACACCUCUACUCUGCGCACUUUGCUUCUUCUGGAAUUCAAUUAAUGGAUCUUGUACGGUAGCGCUACUUGUAUUGUUCUCUGCUUGAUAUAUCGCUUUGCUUGUAUUUUUGGAUACAAGCAUUGGAUAAAAGCGUCUGCUAAAUGAAUAAAUGUAAAUGUAAAUAAUCCUAGUUUAUGUUUUAUCGUUCCAGUACAAUAAUUAGAGUACAAAAAAAUAGUACUGC